This 505-nucleotide ribosomal RNA is filed under the name Salmonella enterica. RNAcentral describes it as "partial 23S ribosomal RNA". It matches the Rfam family "Bacterial large subunit ribosomal RNA", at positions 1271 to 1773 of the family's 2925-position model. Lineage: Bacteria; Pseudomonadati; Pseudomonadota; Gammaproteobacteria; Enterobacterales; Enterobacteriaceae. The record is from RNAcentral.
UGCUGGAGGUAUCAGAAGUGCGAAUGCUGACAUAAGUAACGAUAAAGCGGGUGAAAAGCCCGCUCGCCGGAAGACCAAGGGUUCCUGUCCAACGUUAAUCGGGGCAGGGUGAGUCGACCCCUAAGGCGAGGCCGAAAGGCGUAGUCGAUGGGAAACGGGUUAAUAUUCCCGUACUUGGUGUUACUGCGAAGGGGGGACGGAGAAGGCUAUGUUGGCCGGGCGACGGUUGUCCCGGUUUAAGCGUGUAGGCUGGUUUUCCAGGCAAAUCCGGAAAAUCAAGGCUGAGGCGUGAUGACGAGGCACUACGGUGCUGAAGCAACAAAUGCCCUGCUUCCAGGAAAAGCCUCUAAGCAUCAGGUAACAUCAAAUCGUACCCCAAACCGACACAGGUGGUCAGGUAGAGAAUACCAAGGCGCUUGAGAGAACUCGGGUGAAGGAACUAGGCAAAAUGGUGCCGUAACUUCGGGAGAAGGCACGCUGACACGUAGGUGAAGUGAUUUACUCA